GGAUUAGAUACCCUGGUAGUCCACGCCGUAAACGAUGAGUGCUAAUCGUCGGGGGUUUAUCCUUCGGUGAUACAGUUAACACAUUAAGCACUCCGCCUGGGGAGUACGGGCGCAAGCUUAAAACUCAAAGGAAUUGACGGGGACCCGCACAAGCGGUGGAGCAUGUGGUUUAAUUCGAUGCUACGCGAAGAACCUUACCAUCCCUUGACAUCUUGAUCGCGGAUUUUGUUAUGGAAAUCCUUCGGUUCGGCCGGAUCAAUGACAGGUGUUGCAUGGCUGUCGUCAGCUCGUGCCG
RNAcentral lists this ribosomal RNA (295 nucleotides) under uncultured bacterium. RNAcentral describes it as "partial 16S ribosomal RNA". It matches the Rfam family "Bacterial small subunit ribosomal RNA", at positions 775 to 1067 of the family's 1533-position model. The record is from RNAcentral.